UACGUAGGAGGCAAGCGUUGUCCGGAAUACUGGGCGUAAAGCGCGUGUAGGUGGUGGGACAAGUCUGCUGUGAAAGCGCCUGGCUUAACCGGGCGAGGUCGGCGGAAACUGUUCGACUCGAGGACGGUAGAGGGGGGUGGAAUUCCCGGUGUAGUGGUGAAAUGCGUAGAGAUCGGAAAGAACACCAACGGCGAAAGCACUCUGCUGGGCCGACACUGACACUGAGAGACGAAAGCUAGGGGAGCGAAUGGG
This 252-nucleotide ribosomal RNA is filed under the name uncultured bacterium. RNAcentral describes it as "partial 16S ribosomal RNA". It matches the Rfam family "Bacterial small subunit ribosomal RNA", at positions 524 to 776 of the family's 1533-position model. The record is from RNAcentral.